GGAAACGCUACUUCGUAUAGAGUUGGACUCGAUCGAUGAGAGGAGCUUGCUCCUCAUGAUUUAGCGGCGGACGGGUGAGUAACACGUGGGUAAUCUGCCUGUAAGACGGGGAUAACUCCGGGAAACCGGGGCUAAUACCGGAUAACAAGAGAAGAAGCAUUUCUUCUUUUUGAAAGUCGGUUUCGGCUGACACUUACAGAUGAGCCCGCGGCGCAUUAGCUAGUUGGUGAGGUAACGGCUCACCAAGGCGACGAUGCGUAGCCGACCUGAGAGGGUGAUCGGCCACACUGGGACUGAGACACGGCCCAGACUCCUACGGGAGGCAGCAGUAGGGAAUCUUCGGCAAUGGGCGAAAGCCUGACCGAGCAACGCCGCGUGAGCGAUGAAGGCCUUCGGGUCGUAAAGCUCUGUUGUUAGAGAAGAACAAGUACGAGAGUAACUGCUCGUACCUUGACGGUACCUAACCAGAAAGCCACGGCUAACUACGUGCCAGCAGCCGCGGUAAUACGUAGGUGGCAAGCGUUAUCCGGAAUUAUUGGGCGUAAAGCGCGCGCAGGCGGUCUCUUAAGUCUGAUGUGAAAGCCCACGGCUCAACCGUGGAGGGUCAUUGGAAACUGGGAGACUUGAGUGCAGGAGAGAAAAGUGGAAUUCCACGUGUAGCGGUGAAAUGCGUAGAGAUGUGGAGGAACACCAGUGGCGAAGGCGGCUUUUUGGCCUGUAACUGACGCUGAGGCGCGAAAGCGUGGGGAGCAAACAGGAUUAGAUACCCUGGUAGUCCACGCCGUAAACGAUGAGUGCUAGGUGUUGGGGGGUUCCACCCUCAGUGCUGAAGUUAACACAUUAAGCACUCCGCCUGGGGAGUACGACCGCAAGGUUGAAACUCAAAGGAAUUGACGGGGGCCCGCACAAGCAGUGGAGCAUGUGGUUUAAUUCGAAGCAACGCGAAGAACCUUACCAGGUCUUGACAUCCUCUGACCACUCUAGAAAAUAGAGCUUUUCCC
RNAcentral lists this ribosomal RNA (1001 nucleotides) under Fictibacillus halophilus. Its description in RNAcentral is "bacterial SSU rRNA". It matches the Rfam family "Bacterial small subunit ribosomal RNA", at positions 29 to 1019 of the family's 1533-position model. Lineage: Bacteria; Bacillati; Bacillota; Bacilli; Caryophanales; Fictibacillaceae. The record is from RNAcentral.